This 373-nucleotide unclassified non-coding RNA is filed under the name Hevea brasiliensis (rubber tree). Lineage: Eukaryota; Viridiplantae; Streptophyta; Magnoliopsida; Malpighiales; Euphorbiaceae. The record is from RNAcentral.
UGUUUCUCGGCUUGAUGAUGGUGAUGAAACCAAACUCCGAGUCUUGGGAAAUACUGCUUCCAGCGGUGAUGGAAGUAGUAAUGGCACCUUUUAUAGGGCCGUUCUUCUAGUUCGUCGAGGGAAGUACGACGAAGCACGUGAAUAUGUUGAAAGAGCAAGGAAAUGUUUGGCAACCGAGCUUGCUGCACUGGUUCUUGAGAGCUAUGAACGUGCUUACAGCAACAUGGUUCGCGUUCAACAGCUUUCUGAAUUAGAAGAGGUCAUUGAGUACUGUACUCUUCCUCCUACGGGAAACCCUGUUGCUGAAGGAAGAAGAGCCCUUGUUCGCAAUAUGUGGAAUGAGCGCAUAAAGGGUGCAAAAAGAAAUGUCGAG